GGCCAGACUCCUACGGGAGGCAGCAGUGGGGAAUAUUGCACAAUGGGGGAAACCCUGAUGCAGCGACGCCGCGCGAGUGAAGAAGUAUUUCGGUAUGUAAAGCUCUCUCAGCAGGAAAGAAAAUGACGGUACCUGACUAAGAAGCCCCGGCUAACUACGUGCCAGCAGCCGCGGUAAUACGUAGGGGGCAAGCGUUAUCCGGAUUUACUGGGUGUAAAGGGAGCGUAGACGGUGAAGCAAGUCUGAAGUGAAAGGCGGGGGCUCAACCCCCGGACUGCUUUGGAAACUGUUUGACUGGAGUGCAGGAGAGGUAAGUGGAAUUCCUAGUGUAGCGGUGAAAUGCGUAGAUAUUAGGAGGAACACCAGUGGCGAAGGCGGCUUACUGGACUGUAACUGACGUUGAGGCUCGAAAGCGUGGGGAGCAAACAGGAUUAGAUACCCGAGUAU
Molecule: ribosomal RNA, 447 nt
Filed under: uncultured bacterium
Lineage: Bacteria
Description: partial 16S ribosomal RNA
Rfam family: Bacterial small subunit ribosomal RNA
Source: RNAcentral